UUUUUAAUGGGAUCUUGUAUGAAUGGUUGGACAAAGGAGAAGCUGUCUUUAAGAUAAAUAUUUAAUUUUACUUUUAAGUGAGAAGGCUUAAAUAUUUUAGGGGGACGAUAAGACCCUAUAAAGCUUUAUAUUAUAAUUAUAUUUGAUUAAAUUUAAAUAAUAAAAAUUUAAUGUAGUUAUUUAUUUUGUUGGGGAGACAAGAGUAAAAAUUAUAUUAACUACUCAACAAAUAAACAUUUAUUGAUGUGUUUAAAGUUUAAAGAUCCUAUUUGUGUAUAGAUUAAAAGAUUAAGUUACUUUAGGGAUAACAGUGCCAUUUUUUUUAAGAGUUCAUAUCGAAAAAAUAGUUUACAACCUCGAUGUUGAAUUAAAAUGUCUUUAUAAUGUAGCUGUUAUAUAAGAAGGUCUGUUCGACCUUUAAUUUUUUAC
RNAcentral lists this ribosomal RNA (429 nucleotides) under Ceylonthelphusa rugosa. Its description in RNAcentral is "partial 16S ribosomal RNA". The stretch from base 304 to 429 matches the Rfam family "Bacterial large subunit ribosomal RNA", at positions 2473 to 2599 of the family's 2925-position model. The record is from RNAcentral. Lineage: Eukaryota; Metazoa; Arthropoda; Malacostraca; Decapoda; Parathelphusidae.